UAAUACAUCCUUCUAAUCCAA
Caenorhabditis elegans is the source of this 21-nucleotide non-coding RNA. The record is from Ensembl. NCBI's taxonomy places the organism in Eukaryota, Metazoa, Nematoda, Chromadorea, Rhabditida, Rhabditidae.